UAAGGGGUAAGAGAGCUUUCUUCAGUCCACUCAUGGGUGGUAGUAAGUUUCAAUUAGCUGCCGACUCAUUCAUCCAAAUGCUGAGUAAAAGAUACUUAGCAAAUGAGUGAAUGAUGCGGGAGACAAGUUGAAUCUUAAACUUCCUGUACUUGGACUGAAGGGAGCUCCCUUUUCGUUUUUU
This is a non-coding RNA of Cajanus cajan (pigeon pea), 181 nucleotides long. The record is from Rfam. Lineage: Eukaryota; Viridiplantae; Streptophyta; Magnoliopsida; Fabales; Fabaceae.